AGAGUUUGAUCCUGGCUCAGAUUGAACGCUGGCGGAAUGCUUUACACAUGCAAGUCGAACGGCAGCACGGGAGCUUGCUCCUGGUGGCGAGUGGCGAACGGGUGAGUAAUGCGUCGGAACGUACCGAGUAAUGGGGGAUAACGCGGCGAAAGUCGCGCUAAUACCGCAUACGCCCUGAGGGGGAAAGCGGGGGAUCGCAAGACCUCGCGUUAUUCGAGCGGCCGACGUCUGAUUAGCUAGUUGGUGGGGUAAAGGCUCACCAAGGCGACGAUCAGUAGCGGGUCUGAGAGGAUGAUCCGCCACACUGGGACUGAGACACGGCCCAGACUCCUACGGGAGGCAGCAGUGGGGAAUUUUGGACAAUGGGGGCAACCCUGAUCCAGCCAUUCCGCGUGAGUGAAGAAGGCCUUCGGGUUGUAAAGCUCUUUCAGCUGGAGCGAAACGGUACGCUCUAACAUAGCGUGCUAAUGACGGUACCAGCAGAAGAAGCACCGGCUAACUACGUGCCAGCAGCCGCGGUAAUACGUAGGGUGCGAGCGUUAAUCGGAAUUACUGGGCGUAAAGCGUGCGCAGGCGGAUUGUUAAGCAAGACGUGAAAUCCCCGGGCUUAACCUGGGAAUGGCGUUUUGAACUGGCAGUCUAGAGUGCGUCAGAGGGGGGUGGAAUUCCACGUGUAGCAGUGAAAUGCGUAGAGAUGUG
This 699-nucleotide ribosomal RNA is filed under the name uncultured bacterium. RNAcentral describes it as "bacterial SSU rRNA". It matches the Rfam family "Bacterial small subunit ribosomal RNA", at positions 8 to 700 of the family's 1533-position model. The record is from RNAcentral.